RNAcentral lists this ribosomal RNA (457 nucleotides) under uncultured bacterium. RNAcentral's name for it is "bacterial SSU rRNA". It matches the Rfam family "Bacterial small subunit ribosomal RNA", at positions 339 to 793 of the family's 1533-position model. The record is from RNAcentral.
CUACGGAAGGCAGCAGUGAGGAAUAUUGGACAAUGGGCGCAAGCCUGAUCCAGCCAUCCCGCGUGAAGGAUUAAGGCCCUCUGGGUUGUAAACUUCUUUUUUGGGGGAAUAAAAACCGGGAUUUAUCCUGGCUUGAAGGUACCCCAAGAAUAAGCACCGGCUGACUCCGUGCCAGCAGCCGCGGUAAUACGGAGGGUGCAAGCGUUAUCCGGAUUCACUGGGUUUAAAGGGUGCGUAGGUGGCUUUGUAAGUCAGUGGUGAAAUCUCGGAGCUUAACUCCGAAACUGCCAUUGAUACUGCUUAGCUUGAAUCAAGUAGAGGUGGAUGGAAUAAUACAUGUAGCGGUGAAAUGCUUAGAUAUGUAUUAGAACACCGAUUGCGAAGGCAGUUCACUAUGCUUGUAUUGACACUGAGGCACGAAAGCGUGGGGAUCAAACAGGAUUAGAUACCCCUGUAU